This is a long non-coding RNA of Eriocheir sinensis (Chinese mitten crab), 2369 nucleotides long. RefSeq lists it as uncharacterized. The record is from RefSeq and is a predicted model, not a curated record. Lineage: Eukaryota; Metazoa; Arthropoda; Malacostraca; Decapoda; Varunidae. The transcript has 2 exons.
GUCUGACCUGCUGUAUCGGUUUCCUUAUGUCCUUAGCUCCAUAGUGUAAACAGUUCAUUAGCUUCAGUUUUUCCCUUCUCACAGUACCCAAAAUAGGAGUUUCCAUAUUGAUAUAAACUCUACAGACACACUAGCCUCAUUUUUCCAUUCUCACAGUAUCCAAAAUCGGAGUUCUCUUGUCGAUAUAAACUCUACCAACCAUGCUUUCUGCCCCUUCCUCUUGCAUCAGUUUCCUCAUGUUCUUUAAUCUUAGUAUAGCCAAUCCAUUAGUUUCAGUUUUUCCAUUCUCACAGUAUCCAAAAUCGGUGUUUUCUUGUCGAUAUAAACUCUACCAACACACCUUUCGCUCUGGCCUCCUGCAGCAGUCUCCUUGUUCUUUUUAGUUUCUUCCCCCUCUUAAAAAUAUCCAGAAUAGCACUUAUAAACACUACAAACUCGCCUGUCUCUCCAGUCUCUUGCAUUCGUCUUCUAUCUCUUUCUAUGUUAUUCUUUUUCCUUACGUUCCUAUUUCCUUCCUUAUGUCACUCUUCUUUAUUUCCUUAUGUUCUUAUGUCCUCUUUCCCUCUCCCCCUGUGGUUCCGUGACAUCUCCCGGUCUGUAAGUAAAUGUUAUCCUUCACGACAGUCCUUUUGUACAUAAAGAAUAUUAUAAUUUACUUAAUAGCCUAUAUAUAAUUUUUAAUCCUCCUAUGGUGCUUACCGUGAACCAAGUAUAUAAGUGUGCGGAGACUUGUCCAGUGUGUGUUGCGUCAUUAUUAUUAUUAUUAUCAUUAUUAUCCUCCUUUGUACAUUUUCCGGGAGCCGAGGGCGCUGUGGAUAUAGGCAUUAUUAUUAAAGUUACUUGGUGUGUGGAUAUCAGGAACUUAACCAGACUUUUUAUAAUGCCUCAUACUUUUUCUAAGCCUAAGCACUGCAUUCACGAUAGUCUGCAUACGAUCACUACAACAACUGCUACUGUUAUGACCCCUGCUGCUCCUGCUACUACUACUAUUAUUAUGACCCCUACUGCUACUACUGCUAUGGUUACUACUGCAUUUAUUGUGGUAGGUUAACACUGAAUCUCGGUAAACACACACUCGCCAGCAAUGGGUUAGUGUCCCCUGAUCAUCUGCUGACGACUUGCUUUCCUUCGCUGAGAUAUAAAAAUUAGUGUUUCUCCGUCAUGGGAAAACACUUUGCCGUAUAAUUAAAGGUAACUAUACAUACAUACAGACAGACAGACGUGCAGAAGGGCAUGUGUACAUACGUAUAUUGGUACAGUACUAUGUGUGAGAGAUGUUACGAUGACUGCCACUACUAGCCCAAGACGACAACCACCUCACUUCUCCGUUUCUCUCCUUUCCCGUCUUUCUGUGGCUGGUUAGUCAUUUCUUCCCUCUGAGAAGUGACUGUUUCAUUUCCUUUCCCUACAUUCUGUGGCGGGUUACUCGCUUCUUGCCUCUAAGAUGUGAUGAGUGGUAACCUUCCCACUUCAAGGCCCCGUCCACAUAAUCGGGCACUGCCCUUCACCGGGCAAAGUCUGCAGACACACUUGUAUUCUCGUCCACACAGCAGUGUCUGGCACAUUCAAAGCCAGGCAGCCAGGCAGGGCGGGUUCACUUAUUGAAGCUGUGUUUAAUAUGAUAUUUGUGUAGUGGGAAGGACUGGAAAAAGCCAGCACUGUGUAGCAUGAUCAUUUAUGCUCUAUGUGUGAAAAAAAGGAACAAAAGGGAAAAAAAAGGUGUGUGUGUACUUCUGGGCAGUGCCUGGUGAAGUCCCUCAGCCACCAACGUGGGUAUUUUACUAGUUUGCCCACAAGGCACAAGUGGUAAGUCCAUCAAGAGACAAACUGCUCACUUGUGCCUGUGGGCAUUGCCUGAUCAUGUGGACGGGUCCUUACACACAGCAGAGAGUUGAGCUGACGAUGACGGAUGACAAUGAUGUUAAGUUCCAAAUGUAUUCUAUUCGUACGAUUGUUUGUGAGCCAUAAUGCAAAGUGAUGACGACGGAGAAUGGGUGCGUAAAGGAGGACCGCUAUUGCUAUUUUUCGUCUACCUUGGGUGUGGCAUUAGGGUGAGGUGUUGGUGGGCACAGGCUGGGUGGCUUGAUGGGUGAGGUGUUAGGGUGGGUCAGGCUGGGUAGGUUUGAGGUAUUGAGGGUUAUGUAUGUGUGUGUGUGCGCGUGCAUGCGUGCGUGUGUGUGCACCUACCCUGCCCUCCCACCCACCCCCACCCUGCCCUGCCUCGGAGUGAGUUCGAAUUACGUCUUUUUGGAAAUUAUUUGCGUACUAGAUCAGGUUAAAAUAAUUGUUGUUGAAGCUUGAGACUCGGACAUUAGUAGUGUGUUUACUUCAUGACUUUGUAAUGUGGCGAAUAAAUCAUUUAUAUAGCA